RNAcentral lists this ribosomal RNA (253 nucleotides) under uncultured bacterium. Its description in RNAcentral is "partial 16S ribosomal RNA". It matches the Rfam family "Bacterial small subunit ribosomal RNA", at positions 524 to 776 of the family's 1533-position model. The record is from RNAcentral.
UACGUAGGGGGCAAGCGUUGUCCGGAAUCAUUGGGCGUAAAGAGCGUGUAGGCGGCCCGAUAAGUCCGCCGUGAAAGUCCAGGGCUCAACCCUGGAAUGCCGGUGGAAACUGUCGGGCUGGAGUCCGGAAGAGGCGAGUGGAAUUCCUGGUGUAGCGGUGAAAUGCGCAGAUAUCAGGAGGAACACCAAUGGCGAAGGCAGCUCGCUGGAACGGUACUGACGCUGAGGCGCGAAAGCGUGGGGAGCAAACAGG